UACGGGGGGGGCAAGCGUUGUUCGGAAUUACUGGGCGUAAAGGGCUCGUAGGCGGCCAACUAAGUCAGACGUGAAAUCCCUCGGCUUAACCGGGGAACUGCGUCUGAUACUGGAUGGCUUGAGAUUGGGAGAGGGAUGCGGAAUUCCAGGUGUAGCGGUGAAAUGCGUAGAUAUCAGGAGGAACACCGGUGGCGAAGGCGGAUCUCUGGGCCUUACCUGACGCUCAGGCGCGAAAGCUAGGGGAGCGAACAGG
RNAcentral lists this ribosomal RNA (253 nucleotides) under uncultured bacterium. Its description in RNAcentral is "partial 16S ribosomal RNA". It matches the Rfam family "Bacterial small subunit ribosomal RNA", at positions 524 to 776 of the family's 1533-position model. The record is from RNAcentral.